RNAcentral lists this ribosomal RNA (465 nucleotides) under uncultured bacterium. Its description in RNAcentral is "partial 16S ribosomal RNA". It matches the Rfam family "Bacterial small subunit ribosomal RNA", at positions 28 to 507 of the family's 1533-position model. The record is from RNAcentral.
GACGAACGCUGGCGGCGUGCUUAACACAUGCAAGUCGAACGGAAAGGCCCUGCUUGCAGGGUACUCGAGUGGCGAACGGGUGAGUAACACGUGGGUGAUCUGCCCUGCACUUCAGGAUAAGCCUGGGAAACUGGGUCUAAUACCGGAUAGGAGCCAUUUUUAGUGUGAUGGUUGGAAAGUUUUUUCGGUGUAGGAUGAGCUCGCGGCCUAUCAGCUUGUUGGUGGGGUAAUGGCCUACCAAGGCGGCGACGGGUAGCCGGCCUGAGAGGGUGGACGGCCACAUUGGGACUGAGAUACGGCCCAGACUCCUACGGGAGGCAGCAGUGGGGAAUAUUGCACAAUGGGCGCAAGCCUGAUGCAGCGACGCCGCGGGGGGGAUGACGGCCUUCGGGUUGUAAACUCCUUUCGCUAGGGACGAAGCUUUUUGUGACGGUACCUAGAGAAGAAGCACCGGCUAACUACGUG